UACGGAAGGCAGCAGUGGGGAAUAUUGCACAAUGGGCGCAAGCCUGAUGCAGCCAUGCCGCGUGUAUGAAGAAGGCCUUCGGGUUGUAAAGUACUUUCAGUCGUGAGGAAGGUGUUAAGGUUAAUAACCUUAGCAAUUGACGUUAGCGACAGAAGAAGCACCGGCUAACUCCGUGCCAGCAGCCGCGGUAAUACGGAGGGUGCGAGCGUUAAUCGGAAUUACUGGGCGUAAAGGGCACGCAGGCGGUUAAUUAAGUUGGAUGUGAAAUCCCCGGGCUUAACCUGGGAAUGGCAUUCAAGACUGGUUAGCUAGAGUCUUGUAGGGGGGUAGAAUUCCAUGUGUAGCGGUGAAAUGCGUAGAGAUGUGGAGGAAUACCGGUGGCGAAGGCGGCCCCUGGACAAAGACUGACGCUCAUGUGCGAAAGCGUGGGGAGCAAACAGGGAUUAGAUACC
This 452-nucleotide ribosomal RNA is filed under the name uncultured bacterium. Its description in RNAcentral is "bacterial SSU rRNA". It matches the Rfam family "Bacterial small subunit ribosomal RNA", at positions 340 to 786 of the family's 1533-position model. The record is from RNAcentral.